RNAcentral lists this non-coding RNA (571 nucleotides) under Pan troglodytes (chimpanzee). The record is from RNAcentral. Lineage: Eukaryota; Metazoa; Chordata; Mammalia; Primates; Hominidae.
AUCAUCAUUAUUGCUGUCAUCAAUUGCCUGUGAGGGGCAUUGGCCUGAGGCUGUUUUCCUACUCUCUCCUUGAGCCUUUAUGGAUAUAUUUUGGAUAAAUGGACCUAGACCAACAUGGCAAAAGUCUGAACACAGAGGCUAAGUUUUUCACUCAGGAACCAGCUCCAGGGUUCCUUCAUUCUUCCUGAAAGUCUUAGACCCUCAGCAUCCUUCCCUAGACUACUCUGUGGCCUAGAUUCUGGGCUGCUUUGUGUGGGAAAGCUGAUGGCAGAUCAUGGAAAGACGGCCCAUCAUAGAACCACACACACGUGAUCACAGGCAUGACACAGAACAAUGAAGCUUGGUACCUUCCUCUCGCCACAGGAUGUUUGCAACUGCAGCAGCAGAGAAUGAGGAAAGCAGGAGUGUGAUGGAGGAAAGGAAAAAGAAGAAAGCAGUGUUAAACCGUCACUGCAGUGAUUCCAUUUAUGAAGAUCCUGGUACCUAGUCCAUCACUUACAGAAUCUAUACCACUCAUUGCCCUAGGAACAGUAUCUUGGGGGAAGCUCUGGACAUGAACAAAUGCUUUCAG